UUAGUUAUUAAAACUUUGUUUCUUACUUGAAUUGUAGAUUCAGGGGAAUGGUAUGUAGUUCGUUCAAUCAACGCCUGAAUUUUGGAGAGUAGAAAGUUUUAGUUUAUUUAAGAUGAACAAGAUUGGAAGAGAGAGAAGCCAUAUAUUUGGAAUCCCCGCCCCUCAUUUCCAUAGCCAAUUAAUCAACUGGCAUGCCAAUUGAUCAUUAGUGGGAUAUUUGGCUGCUCCUGGAUAAUUGUGGCGGAACCCAUACUUAACCACUUAUUUUGAAAGAUGCAAAUGCAAUGAUAGACUGACAUUGCUUCUGUUUUGUUAGAAGCCAUUGGCUAAAUCAGAUUUUUUCUAGGUCAAAUUGAGGCCCUCAGUUCCCCUUACUUUGAUAACACAUCAAACAACCGGCACAACCAGCAGUGUGUAAGUACCCAUGUUUCUUGAAGCAUAAUCUCUAGAUCUAUAAAUGAUGAGAAAAAUUGUUCUAGAAAUAUGGAGAAAGAAACUGCAUAUUACCUGAAGACCCUGGACAGGUAUGCUUUAUUGGAUCUCUCACCUCUUUAAAUGCAAGUAGAGGAGGCUUUGCCAUUGGAAAGCAUCUUAUGAACUUAAAUAUUCAUAAAGAAAAGCAUUGAAACAACAAGGUUCUCAGCUUUAUAAAACAAAAAUAUUCAUAAAAAAAAGCAUGCUCCACUUCUUCACUAACCUGUUCAGUGGCAUACAUAAGAAACAUCAAAAGCAUUACACCUCAAUAUAGGACAAUUUCACUAUCAAGCAUGUCAGCCAACUGGCACAGACACUUCUUCUAAGAAGUUGUGACUGUCUGUUUAACAAGACAACACAACCAAAAAUCUUUUGAGUAUGAAUUUCAAAGAUUCACGGUAAAACCCUGCCUUAAUAAUUGUGAUAAUUUAUUUUAUGCGGCUUAUGGACCAAAUAAUUCCCUCACCAACCAUCUUACCUCAUUCAUUCAAUUCUGUACUUUUAAUUAUUUUGGACAAGAUUAUGGAGUGUUGUUCAAAGGCCAAAAUAAAGAAAUAUGGUGCUUCCCUACUCAAAUAGUGCAAUAAAAGUUUGAGACCUGCUACAUAACCUCCCCUCCCUCGCAACCUCCGCACACUGCGUCCCAACCCCUCCCCAGCGUUCUCUUCUGUACAGAUUCAUCACACAGGCCGCGGUGUUUCUUCUCACUGCUUGUCUUCCAAAUGGAACCGUCCGGGACUGCCGAUAUUGGUCUUUUAUGACCGAAGGGUUUAUGGUUUUCUCUCCAUUCCAUUUUCGUUUCCCAACAUUCCAUAUAUUGUGUGUUUUUGUGUUUAUUGAAUCUGCAGCUUUGUGUUUUUUGGAUCUGUGUUAUUUUGUAUUAUAAUGGUUGCUGAUUUUGGGUGAGAAACUGUCAUUGUUAGAUAUGUGUUUUUUGAGUCUUUCUUCUUCCCCUGAAUAAUCUCAUUCACUGUGUAUAGCUUUAUUUCACAGCACAUAAACUAGAACUUGUGUUGUGCAAAAUUACCGUGGUACUCUACCAACAUAGAGUUCAUAGCCAGAUAAGAUGCAUUAUUGGCACUCUUUCCGUGCAAAUUUCUUGACUUUAGCUUUCAACCUUUGGAUUAAAAACUAAUUUUAAUGCAUUAGCAGCUAAUCUUAAAACAACAAGACUUUGCUCAAAGAAUAUAUAUAUAUAUAUAUAUAUGUGUGU
Long non-coding RNA from Carya illinoinensis, 1687 nucleotides. RefSeq lists it as uncharacterized. The record is from RefSeq and is a predicted model, not a curated record. The transcript has 4 exons. Lineage: Eukaryota; Viridiplantae; Streptophyta; Magnoliopsida; Fagales; Juglandaceae.